UACGGAGGAUGCAAGCGUUAUCCGGAAUUAUUGGGCGUAAAGCGUCCGUAGGUGGUUAAGUAAGUCUGCUGUUAAAGCGUGGAGCUUAACUCCAUAUCGGCAGUGGAAAAUACUUGACUUGAGUGCGGUAGGUGUCAGGGGAAUUACCAGUGUAGCGGCGAAAUGCGGAGAUAUUGGGAAGAACACCGGUGGCGAAAGCGCCUGAAUGGGCCUGCACUGACACUGCCGGACGAAAUCUAGGGGUGCGGUAGUG
RNAcentral lists this ribosomal RNA (253 nucleotides) under uncultured bacterium. RNAcentral's name for it is "partial 16S ribosomal RNA". It matches the Rfam family "Bacterial small subunit ribosomal RNA", at positions 524 to 776 of the family's 1533-position model. The record is from RNAcentral.